CGCUCCUGCCUGCAUGUCUGCCUCUCCCUGACCCGCCUAACCUCCCUCUUUUCCUGCUGUCUAACAUCUUCAGGAGAAUUUUCUGCAGUUUUGUUGAAUUUAUCCGCUGAAGAUGAGAAGCUGAACCGUAAAUGAAAGCUUGAAAAUCUGCUUAGUUUCUUCAUUCCUGGAGUCAGACGUAGAGCUGUGGUUUAAUCUGAGUCCGUUUUUAAUUUGUCCGUCUAUUAAAACUCUAAAAUCAGUUUGAAUUAUAUUUAGUUUGAUUUGCUUUUUGACAUUAGUUCCUUCAUGUCUUUGAGUGAUUAACAAAUUCAACCAACUAGACAAAUGACCAUUGUCUAGUGGAAUCUAAUUUCUAUUUUUAUUGAUCAGCGGUUGAGGCUGUAUGAAUAAAUUUGAGCCAAUAGCUGUCUGUGUGCUGUUGUAUCAUGUUUGGAACUGUGGUGAGACAAUGUUAAUAACAGGUUAAUAACCAGGUUAGCUAAUAACAGGUUAAUAACCAGGUUAGCUAAUAACAGGUUAAUAACCAGGUUAGCUAAUAACAGGUUAAUAACCAGGUUAGCUAAUAACAGGGUAAUAACUAGGUUAGCUAAUA
Molecule: long non-coding RNA, 595 nt
Organism: Poecilia latipinna (sailfin molly)
Lineage: Eukaryota; Metazoa; Chordata; Actinopteri; Cyprinodontiformes; Poeciliidae
Exons: 3
Source: RefSeq, a predicted model, not a curated record